GUGAUGGUGCAGACGGGUGAGUACGCGUGGAACGUGCCUUUCACUACGGAAUAGCUUUUGGAAACGAAAGGUAAUACCGUAUACGCCCUCCGGGGGAAAGAUUUAUCGGUGAAAGAUCGGUCCGCGUUAGAUUAGCUAGUUGGUGAGGUAACGGCUCACCAAGGCUACGAUCUAUAGCUGGUCUGAGAGGAUGAUCAGCCACACUGGGACUGAGACACGGCCCAGACUCCUACGGGAGGCAGCAGUGGGGAAUAUUGCACAAUGGGCGCAAGCCUGAUGCAGCCAUGCCGCGUGAAUGAUGAAGGCCUUAGGGUUGUAAAAUUCUUUCGCCAAGGAUGAUAAUGACAGUACUUGGUAAAGAAGCCCCGGCUAACUUCGUGCCAGCAGCCGCGGUAAUACGAAGGGGGCUAGCGUUGUUCGGAAUUACUGGGCGUAAAGCGCACGUAGGCGGACUUCUAAGUCAGAUGUGAAAUCCCGAGGCUCAACCUCGGAACUGCAUUUGAAACUGGGAGUCUAGAGAUCAGGAGAGGUUAGCGGAAUACCGAGUGUAGAGGUGAAAUUCGUAGAUAUUCGGUGGAACACCAGUGGCGAAGGCGGCUAACUGGACUGAUACUGACGCUGAGGUGCGAAAGUGUGGGGAGCAAACAGGA
Molecule: ribosomal RNA, 650 nt
Filed under: uncultured bacterium
Lineage: Bacteria
Description: bacterial SSU rRNA
Rfam family: Bacterial small subunit ribosomal RNA
Source: RNAcentral